GCGCGGGUGGCGAAAUGGCAGGCGCGCAACCUUGAGGUGGUUGUGGGAGCAAUCCCGUGGAGGUUCAAGUCCUCUCCCGCGCA
This 83-nucleotide transfer RNA is filed under the name Candidatus Wolfebacteria bacterium RIFOXYD1_FULL_48_65. RNAcentral describes it as "tRNA-Leu". It matches the Rfam family "tRNA". Rfam says of the family: Transfer RNA (tRNA) molecules are approximately 80 nucleotides in length. Their secondary structure includes four short double-helical elements and three loops (D, anti-codon, and T loops). Lineage: Bacteria; Candidatus Wolfeibacteriota. The record is from RNAcentral. RNAcentral also lists the same sequence under 2 other names.